Molecule: unclassified non-coding RNA, 433 nt
Filed under: soil metagenome
Description: partial contains 5.8S ribosomal RNA, internal transcribed spacer 2, and large subunit ribosomal RNA
Rfam family: 5.8S ribosomal RNA (bases 1-120)
Source: RNAcentral
GAUGAAGAACGUAGCGAAAUGCGAUACGUAAUGUGAAUUGCAGAAUUCAGUGAAUCAUCGAAUCUUUGAACGCAUAUUGCGCUCUCUGGUAUUCCGGAGAGCAUGCUUGUUUGAGUAUCAGUAAACACCUCAACUCCCUUUUCUUUUUUGAAAUGGGAGCUGGACUUGAGUGAUCCCAACACUUUUCUCACUGGAAAGUGGCGGGUAACUUGAAAUGCAGGUGCAGCUGGACUUUUCUCUGAGCUAUAAGCAUAUCUAUUUAGUCUGCCUAAAAAACAGAUUAUUACCUUUGCUGCAGCUAACAUAAAGGAGAUGAGUUCUUGUGCUGACUGAUGCAGGAUUCACAGAGACAGCUUUGCGGCUGACUUUGUAAACUCGAUCUCAAAUCAAGUAAGACUACCCGCUGAACUUAAGCAUAUCAAUAAGCGGAGGA